This is a small nuclear RNA of Gorilla gorilla gorilla (western lowland gorilla), 104 nucleotides long. The record is from Ensembl. Lineage: Eukaryota; Metazoa; Chordata; Mammalia; Primates; Hominidae.
GUGCUUGCUUUGGCAGCACGUUUAGUAAAAUUGCAAUGAUACAGAGAUUAGCGUGGCCCCUGCACAAGGAGGACAUGCAAAUUCAUGAAGUGUUCCAUAUUUUA